GAUGAACGCUGGCGGCGUGCCUAAUACAUGCAAGUCGAGCGAACAGAUGAGGAACUUGCUCCUCUGACGUUAGCGGCGGACGGGUGAGUAACACGUGGAUAACCUACCUAUAAGACUGGGAUAACUUCGGGAAACCGGAGCUAAUACCGGAUAAUAUCUUGAACCACAUGGUUCAAUAGUGAAAGACGGUUUUGCAGCAACUUAUAAAUGGAUCCGCGCCGCAUUAGCUAGUUGGUAAGGUAACGGCUAACCAAGGCAACGAUGCGUAGCCGACCUGAGAGGUGGUCCGGCCACACGGGAACUGAGACACGGUCCAGACUCCUACGGGAGGAAGAGUUAGGGAAUCUUCCGCAAGGGGCGAAGGCUGGACGGAGCAACGCCGCGGGAGGGAGGAAGGUCUUCGGAUCGUAAAACUUUGUUAUUAGGGAAGAACAAAGGGGUAAGUAACUAUGCACGUCUUGACGGUACCUAAUCAGAAAGCCACGGCUAACUACGUG
This 497-nucleotide ribosomal RNA is filed under the name uncultured bacterium. Its description in RNAcentral is "partial 16S ribosomal RNA". It matches the Rfam family "Bacterial small subunit ribosomal RNA", at positions 28 to 507 of the family's 1533-position model. The record is from RNAcentral.